UGAAGGCACAAAUGGAAAAAUUAGCAUAUGCAAUUUGUGUAGUUUUUGAGGUCUCCAAUCUCCUUGCCUUCUUUGUGUCAUCAUUGUCCCAAAAGAAGGGAAUAUGGCAAUCAAGAACAAGGAUCGCUUCNNNNNNNNNNNCAUGGUUGGCCUGUUCUCAGGUAGCUCUUGGGUGCAAGCAAGUGCAAGUUUUGCCAGCUUAGCAGCUUCCGAUUCGGAGAAGUUUCCUUUAAGAUUGGUAUCAAUAAAUCCUUCAUAUAUGCAAGAUGCAGCUGCCACGCGCAUUGAAUUGGAAAGCAUCUGUUUACCAGAGAG
This 315-nucleotide unclassified non-coding RNA is filed under the name Hevea brasiliensis (rubber tree). The record is from RNAcentral. Lineage: Eukaryota; Viridiplantae; Streptophyta; Magnoliopsida; Malpighiales; Euphorbiaceae.